UUUCAUUUGGGAGCAACUAUACUCAAAUUGGAAUAAGACAAAGAAGAUUGACAUGGUCCCUCUACAAGGCUGGCUCACAGAUUCGUGAAGCAUGCCAUAUUUUU
Sorex fumeus (smoky shrew) is the source of this 104-nucleotide small nuclear RNA. The record is from RefSeq and is a predicted model, not a curated record. NCBI's taxonomy places the organism in Eukaryota, Metazoa, Chordata, Mammalia, Eulipotyphla, Soricidae.